GUGCCUUCGGGAACUGUGAGACAGGUGCUGCAUGGCUGUCGUCAGCUCGUGUUGUGAAAUGUUGGGUUAAGUCCCGCAACGAGCGCAACCCUUAUCCUUUGUUGCCAGCGAUUAGGUCGGGAACUCAAAGGAGACUGCCAGUGAUAAACUGGAGGAAGGUGGGGAUGACGUCAAGUCAUCAUGGCCCUUACGACCAGGGCUACACACGUGCUACAAUGGCGCAUACAAAGAGAAGCGACCUCGCGAGAGCAAGCGGACCUCAUAAAGUGCGUCGUAGUCCGGAUUGGAGUCUGCAACUCGACUCCAUGAAGUCGGAAUCGCUAGUAAUCGUGGAUCAGAAUGCCACGGUGAAUACGUUCCCGGGCCUUGUACACACCGCCCGUCACACCAUGGGAGUGGGUUGCAAAAGAAGUAGGUAGCUUAACCUUCGGGAGGGCGCUUACCACUUUGUGAUUCAUGACUGGGGUGAAGUCGUAACAAGGUAACCGUAGGGGAACCUGCGGUUGGAUCACCUCCUUACCUUAAAGAA
This 529-nucleotide ribosomal RNA is filed under the name Salmonella enterica. RNAcentral describes it as "bacterial SSU rRNA". It matches the Rfam family "Bacterial small subunit ribosomal RNA", at positions 1014 to 1533 of the family's 1533-position model. RNAcentral also lists the same sequence under 3 other names. The record is from RNAcentral. Lineage: Bacteria; Pseudomonadati; Pseudomonadota; Gammaproteobacteria; Enterobacterales; Enterobacteriaceae.